AUUGAACGCUGGCGGAAUGCUUUACACAUGCAAGUCGAACGGCAGCACGGGGGCAGCCCUGGUGGCGAGUGGCGAACGGGUGAGUAAUACAUCGGAACGUGCCCGGUCGUGGGGGAUAACGUAGCGAAAGUUACGCUAAUACCGCAUACGAUCUGAGGAUGAAAGCGGGGGACCUUCGGGCCUCGCGCGAUCGGAGCGGCCGAUGUCAGAUUAGGUAGUUGGUGGGGUAAAGGCCUACCAAGCCGACGAUCUGUAGCUGGUCUGAGAGGACGACCAGCCACACUGGGACUGAGCCACGGCCCAGACUCCUACGGGAGGCAGCAGUGGGGAAUUUUGGACAAUGGGCGCAAGCCUGAUCCAGCCAUUCCGCGUGCAGGACGAAGCCCUUCGGGUUGUAAACUGCUUUUGUACGGAACGAAAAGGCUCUGGCUAAUACCUGGGGCUCAUGACGGUACCGUAAGAAUAAGCACCGGCUAACUACGUG
This 484-nucleotide ribosomal RNA is filed under the name uncultured bacterium. RNAcentral describes it as "partial 16S ribosomal RNA". It matches the Rfam family "Bacterial small subunit ribosomal RNA", at positions 30 to 507 of the family's 1533-position model. The record is from RNAcentral.